UACGGGGGGGGCAAGCGUUGUUCGGAAUUACUGGGCGUAAAGGGCUCGUAGGUGGCCAACUAAGUCAGACGUGAAAUCCCCAGGCUUAACCUGGGAACUGCGUCUGAUACUGGAUGGCUUGAAUUCGGGAGAGGGAUGCAGAAUUCCAGGUGUAGCGGUGAAAUGCGUAGAUAUCAAGUGGAACACCAGUGGCGAAGGCGAGUCCCUGGACAAUACCUGACACUGAGGCACGAAAGCUAGGGGAGCAAACAGG
Molecule: ribosomal RNA, 253 nt
Filed under: uncultured bacterium
Lineage: Bacteria
Description: partial 16S ribosomal RNA
Rfam family: Bacterial small subunit ribosomal RNA
Source: RNAcentral